This 589-nucleotide ribosomal RNA is filed under the name uncultured bacterium. Its description in RNAcentral is "bacterial SSU rRNA". It matches the Rfam family "Bacterial small subunit ribosomal RNA", at positions 895 to 1482 of the family's 1533-position model. The record is from RNAcentral.
UGAAANUCAAAGGAAUUGACGGGGACCCGCACAAGCGGUGGAGCAUGUGGUUUAAUUCGAAGCAACGCGAAGAACCUUACCAGCUCUUGACAUCUUCUGAUCACUCUAGAGAUAGAGCUUUCCCUUCGGGGACAGAAUGACAGGUGGUGCAUGGUUGUCGUCAGCUCGUGUCGUGAGAUGUUGGGUUAAGUCCCAUAACGAGCGCAACCCUUAUUGUUAGUUGCCAGCAUUCAGUUGGGCACUCUAGCGAGACUGCCGGUGAUAAACCGGAGGAAGGUGGGGAUGACGUCAAAUCAUCAUGCCCCUUAUGAGCUGGGCUACACACGUGCUACAAUGGACGGUACAACGAGUUGCGAAGCCGCGAGGCUGAGCGAAUCUUUAUAAGCCGUUCUCAGUUCGGAUUGUUCUCUGCAACUCGAGAACAUGAAGCCGGAAUCGCUAGUAAUCGCGGAUCAGAAUGCCGCGGUGAAUACGUUCCCGGGUCUUGUACACACCGCCCGUCACACCACGAGAGUUCGUAACACCCGAAGCCGGUGGGGCAACCCUUUUAGGGAGCUAGCCGUCGAAGGUGGGAUGGAUGAUUGGGGUG